GACGAACGCUGGCGGCGUGCUUAACACAUGCAAGUCGAACGGAAAGGCCCUGCUUUUGUGGGGUGCUCGAGUGGCGAACGGGUGAGUAACACGUGAGUAACCUGCCCUUGACUUUGGGAUAACUUCAGGAAACUGGGGCUAAUACCGGAUAGGAGCUCCUGCUGCAUGGUGGGGGUUGGAAAGUUUCGGCGGUUGGGGAUGGACUCGCGGCUUAUCAGCUUGUUGGUGGGGUAGUGGCUUACCAAGGCUUUUACGGGUAGCCGGCCUGAGAGGGUGACCGGCCACAUUGGGACUGAGAUACGGCCCAGACUCCUACGGGAGGCAGCAGUGGGGAAUAUUGCACAAUGGGCGGAAGCCUGAUGCAGCAACGCCGCGUGCGGGAUGACGGCCUUCGGGUUGUAAACCGCUUUCGCCUGUGACGAAGCGUGAGUGACGGUAAUGGGUAAAGAAGCACCGGCUAACUACGUG
RNAcentral lists this ribosomal RNA (468 nucleotides) under uncultured bacterium. Its description in RNAcentral is "partial 16S ribosomal RNA". It matches the Rfam family "Bacterial small subunit ribosomal RNA", at positions 28 to 507 of the family's 1533-position model. The record is from RNAcentral.